Non-coding RNA from Cyanistes caeruleus (blue tit), 1399 nucleotides. Lineage: Eukaryota; Metazoa; Chordata; Aves; Passeriformes; Paridae. The record is from RefSeq and is a predicted model, not a curated record.
GCCUCCUCCGAGCGCCGGGAGGCGGCGGGACUUUAAGAAGUUCCCUCGUUCAGGGCAGGUCUCGCCGCUGCCCCCGCCUCCUCCGGUGCCCGCCCCGGCCGCGGCGGCCCGUGCUGGAGGUGGCCCUGCCGGGGACGGUUGCUCCCCGCGCCGGCCGCCGGGAUGUGCCCCGGGAGCGGCGGCAUCUUUCCUGCCCCGAUACCGCUUUGGAGACCCCAAGGCCUGGCUGAAGUGUGAGACUCACUCCUGGCCGAGCUCCGGCCUCGCAGGGUAGUGAAGGCGGGUCCCCAGGCAGGUGCCUGUUCUCCUCGAGGGUGAUUAACCUAAAAGCGGCGAAGGUUUAGCAAGAAAGGCCUCCGAAAAGACAGAAGAGGAGUUUGGCGAUGCCUUCUCAAACUACAUGUUUUGCAUCACAGGAAGGGCAACUUUCAGCCCUGUUGGGAACAGCAACUGUUGUGUGUGUCCCAGCAGAAGAAAUGAGGGGCAGCUCUUUUCCUAGGGUUUACAGAUAAGAGAUAACUUUCUAUGGGGUUUUCCUUUGCACUCGUGAUUCAGACCAUUUUGAGGCACUGUGUUUUUGUCUCACCCAGUGUUGGAUUUUCUGCCUAUCCAAAAAGGGCCAUUAUUUGGACUUCGUGUUUCAGUAAUUGUUUGAGACAGUUUAAAUUUGAUACCCGUGCCUGUAAUAACCUCAUAUAACAAGGUCACAUGCCAGCCAGUUCAGGCCUUGGCCCCAAGCCCAGGGUAAGAGCACUGUAUCUCCAGGCUGCAGGGAUCCUUCCAUACCUACCGCUGCUUUGUUAUGGGCUACUUUUCACUUAGAGAGAAGGAAAAAUCAGACGUCCAAACUAGAAACCAGGAUUUUUUUAGAGUACUCAAAGUUGAUUUUAUUGUGAUGUGUAGGUAACAGAUCCAUGCAUGGACAGAACCAUGUGAAAAAUAAAUCUACCAGAAGAUUGGUCCAUCAACUCAUUGCUAAGGUUCUCUGCCAGUGAGGGGACACACAAAAGAAACUGGGAGAGAGCAUAGCUGGGACAUGUGACCCAGACUGACCAAAGGGAUAUUCCACACCAAAGAACAUCAUGCCUGGCAUAUAAACUGGGGGAAGUUGCCUGGAAUGGAGGAUUAUCUGUGUUCAGGAAGGGGAGUCUGGUAUUGGUCAGCAGGUGAGAAGGGAAGAGAAAGGGCAAGAAAACUCCAUACAAAUUUUAUUUACAGAAGAUAUAGGGACACUUGCCCCCACACUGAGAUUCUUCAAACAGGCUCUUCAUUCACCACUCAGAGAAAGGAGCAGCUGUUCAAGCAGUUAUCAGAGACAGUGCCUUUCACAAAACAUGGAGAAUAGGCCAGUUACAGCUACAACCAUCCCAGAAGGCUGCAAUAGAGGAGAAGUCUGUGG